Molecule: small nuclear RNA, 104 nt
Filed under: Castor canadensis (American beaver)
Lineage: Eukaryota; Metazoa; Chordata; Mammalia; Rodentia; Castoridae
Source: RNAcentral
GUGCUUGCUUUGGCAGCACAUAUACUAAAGUUGGAACGAUACAGAGAUUAGCAUGUCCCCUGCACAAGGAUGACACACAAAUUUAUGAAGCGUUUCAUAUUUUU